RNAcentral lists this ribosomal RNA (256 nucleotides) under uncultured bacterium. RNAcentral's name for it is "partial 16S ribosomal RNA". It matches the Rfam family "Bacterial small subunit ribosomal RNA", at positions 524 to 776 of the family's 1533-position model. The record is from RNAcentral.
UACGUAGGUGGCGAACGUUAUCCGGAAUUAUUGGGCGUAAAGGGUGCGUAGAUGGUUUGAUAAGUUAGUGGUGGGAAAUCGAGGCUCAACCUCGUGGAAGUCACUAAUACUAUCAAACUAGAGUGCAGGAGAGGUUAACGGAACUCCAUGUGUAGCGGUAAAAUGCGACGAUAUAUGGAUGAACACCAAUAACGGCGAAGGCAGUUAACUAUUCUGCUACUGACAUUGAGGCACGAAAGCGUGGGGAGCAAAACGG